GUACUUCCAAAGUUCAUAUACUAAAAUUGAAACGAUACAGAGAAGAUUAGCAUGGGCGCUGCGCAAGGAUGACACGCAUUUCUCCUACCACGGCCCUUU
Molecule: non-coding RNA, 99 nt
Organism: Ixodes scapularis (black-legged tick)
Lineage: Eukaryota; Metazoa; Arthropoda; Arachnida; Ixodida; Ixodidae
Source: Rfam